RNAcentral lists this ribosomal RNA (492 nucleotides) under uncultured bacterium. RNAcentral describes it as "partial 16S ribosomal RNA". It matches the Rfam family "Bacterial small subunit ribosomal RNA", at positions 29 to 507 of the family's 1533-position model. The record is from RNAcentral.
AGUGAACGCUGGCGGUAGGCCUAACACAUGCAAGUCGAACGGCAGCACAGUAAGAGCUUGCUCUUACGGGUGGCGAGUGGCGGACGGGUGAGGAAUACAUCGGAAUCUAUUUUUUCGUGGGGGAUAACGUAGGGAAACUUACGCUAAUACCGCAUACGACCUACGGGUGAAAGCAGGAGAUCUUCGGACCUUGCGCGAUUGAAUGAGCCGAUGUCGGAUUAGCUAGUUGGCGGGGUAAAGGCCCACCAAGGCGACAAUCCGUAGCUGGUCUGAGAGGAUGAUCAGCCACACUGGAACUGAGACACGGUCCAGACUCCUACGGGAGGCAGCAGUGGGGAAUAUUGGACAAUGGGCGCAAGCCUGAUCCAGCCAUACCGCGUGGGUGAAGAAGGCCUUCGGGUUGUAAAGCCCUUUUGUUGGGAAAGAAAAGCAGCAGGUUAAUACCCCGCUGUUCUGACGGUACCCAAAGAAUAAGCACCGGCUAACUUCGUG